GGAGUUAGCCGGUGCUUCUUCUGUGAGUGAUGUCCUUCCUGCCGGCUAUUAACCCGCAGGCCUUCUUCCUCACUGAAAGUGCUUUACAACCCGAAGGCCUUCUUCACACACGCGGCAUGGCUGGAUCAGGGUUGCCCCCAUUGUCCAAUAUUCCCCACUGCUGCCUCCCGUAGUAGUCUGGGCCGUGUCUCAGUCCCAGUGUGGCUGAUCAUCCUCUCAGACCAGCUACGGAUCGUCGCCUUGGUGAGCCGUUACCUCACCAACCAGCUAAUCCGACAUAGGCUCAUCCGAUAGCGCGAGGCCCGAAGGUCCCCCGCUUUCCCCCGUAGGGCGUAUGCGGUAUUAGCCUGGGUUUCCCCAGGUUAUCCCCCACUACCGGGCAGAUUCCUAUGCAUUACUCACCCGUCCGCCGCUCGCCACCAGGGAGCAAGCUCCCCGUGCUGCCGCUCGACUUGCAUGUGUUAGGCCUGCCGCCAGCGUUCAAUCUGAGCCAUGAUCAAACUCUGA
This 507-nucleotide ribosomal RNA is filed under the name uncultured bacterium. Its description in RNAcentral is "partial 16S ribosomal RNA". The record is from RNAcentral.